Mesocricetus auratus (golden hamster) is the source of this 829-nucleotide long non-coding RNA. RefSeq lists it as uncharacterized. The record is from RefSeq and is a predicted model, not a curated record. NCBI's taxonomy places the organism in Eukaryota, Metazoa, Chordata, Mammalia, Rodentia, Cricetidae. The transcript has 3 exons.
GUCAGUUGCCAUGCAACGUCUGGAGGGCGGUGCAGCUAGUCUGGGCCCGGCCUCGUUCUCUUACUAGCGGUGUCCAGUGCCUUUCUGUCCGACCCUGCCCCGCCCUCCUUCCCAGCCUAGGUGCAGGUCUUGUCCGGAGCAGACCGCCCGGGGCCAACCCAAGCUUACACAACUACCUCGACCUGGGAUGGGAAGUGGUGAAAGUUUCACUUGAGUUGAUGACCUGCCGCAUAGAUGAGGAUUGGUGCAAACGUGAUGUAUAUCAACUGCGUGAAGUCCUUGGCGGAAACUUAAAGUGACAUUUUAGGCGCCCUGGAGUGUGUCCACCCUCCCGCCUUAUAUCGGUUGAACCCCAGCCUCCCUGGGUUUACACAGUGACUUCAUUUGUGAAUGGUCCCUAUAAGGUUUCAUUUGUCUGUGACCUCUACCUGGACUUCUGUACUUGAAGUAAGAAAGUAUUGAAAAGCAUAGUUUUGCUACUUGAUCUUGGAAUUUUCUAGUACAAACUUCAGCUAGAAGCUGUUACUUCUGCAGACCUGAGGCCCCUACCUACAGAAGCCGGGACUCUACUGUUUACUGAUGAGUCUCCAGCUUGGAAUGAGGUUCAUUGCAGCACUGGCCAUUUGCACAGGGAAGAUAAGUCCUUUUACCGUAACUUUUCCUGGGACAGAGCCACACGUGCUCAGCACAUCCUUCUCUUUCUCAGAUUAACGAUGAAACUUCAGUCACUUGGCUCCGAUACUCUUUGUAUUUAGUUUGAAAGAGAACAACUAACACUUUUUAUGUAACUCAGACUUCUUAGUGAGUAUUGUUUUGUUUGUUUGUUUGU